CAUGGAGGGUGAGAAUCCCGUCUGUGACCGGUCGUGCGUUCAUCUACGAUACGCUUUCAAAGAGUCGAGUUGUUUGGGAUUGCAGCUCCAAAUGGGUGGUAAACAUCACCUAAGGCUAAAUAUUGGCGAGAGACCGAUAGCGAACAAGUACCGUGAGGGAAAGGUGAAAAGAACUUUGAAAAGAGAGUUAAAUUGUACGUGAAAUUGUUGAAAGGGAAACGAUUGAAGUCAGUCGUGCUGGCGCGUAAUCAGCCUACGAUUUGUCAAACGAGUAGUGUGGUGAGCCUCAAAACCGCCAUAUUAUUUGUCUGGCUAAUCGUCGGUGCACAUUCGUGUCGGCUGGUUAACAUCAAUUUCAAAUGUCAUAAAAAGGCUGGAGGGAUGUGGUUCCUUCGGGAGUGUUAUAACCUUUAGCGGAAUGUGGUGUUUGAGAUUGAGGAUUGCAACGAAUACCUUUAGGGCUGUUCCACCUGGUCUCUCUUUGGCAUCUUGGCGGCGACAGCUUGCUGACGUUGUUAAGAGUUGACAUUGAACAGGCUAGAGUGUGGGCAAAUUCGUUAAGGAUGUUGACGUAAUGG
RNAcentral lists this ribosomal RNA (578 nucleotides) under uncultured Glomus. RNAcentral's name for it is "LSU rRNA". It matches the Rfam family "Eukaryotic large subunit ribosomal RNA", at positions 204 to 637 of the family's 3401-position model. The record is from RNAcentral. Lineage: Eukaryota; Fungi; Glomeromycota; Glomeromycetes; Glomerales; Glomeraceae.